RNAcentral lists this ribosomal RNA (207 nucleotides) under uncultured Acinetobacter sp. Its description in RNAcentral is "partial 16S ribosomal RNA". It matches the Rfam family "Bacterial small subunit ribosomal RNA", at positions 568 to 774 of the family's 1533-position model. The record is from RNAcentral. Lineage: Bacteria; Pseudomonadati; Pseudomonadota; Gammaproteobacteria; Moraxellales; Moraxellaceae.
CGCGUAGGUGGCCAAUUAAGUCAAAUGUGAAAUCCCCGAGCUUAACUUGGGAAUUGCAUUCGAUACUGGUUGGCUAGAGUAUGGGAGAGGAUGGUAGAAUUCCAGGUGUAGCGGUGAAAUGCGUAGAGAUCUGGAGGAAUACCGAUGGCGAAGGCAGCCAUCUGGCCUAAUACUGACACUGAGGUGCGAAAGCAUGGGGAGCAAACG